Oxyura jamaicensis (ruddy duck) is the source of this 1095-nucleotide long non-coding RNA. RefSeq lists it as uncharacterized. The transcript is spliced from 5 exons. The record is from RefSeq and is a predicted model, not a curated record. NCBI's taxonomy places the organism in Eukaryota, Metazoa, Chordata, Aves, Anseriformes, Anatidae.
AAGAAUUCCUCUAUCUCACAGCUGCAGACAUGAGGCAGAGGCCAAAGGCCAGAUCUGAAAUAGAGUUAGGCCUAGGAAAACAGAAAUGCCCCAAGCCAGAGCCCCUCGCAGGGGCUGGGGCCAGCGGGGCUGAACAGCCCUCCCAGGAGGAACCUGCUUCGCUGCACCAAGAUGCUGCCCGGGACGUCAACAGUCCUGUUACCUGGAGCUAAGGGGGAGCCCAGCUUGCAGGUGCCAGGAGGCUUCUCACAUGGUAAGGUGGAGGAACCUUGGGCUCCCCUCCCCAUGCCAAAGGGAGCAGGAGAAAGUGGAGCAAGAGGCUUUCCCGGGGCUUGUUCGUGGAAAGGCUUUGCUUGAGGGCUGAAUUUAGGUCAAAUUUGGAACUGGAACUCUGAAAACAAACCUUUUCCCCAAAAAAUGGUGCUACAAAUUGGUCUUUCAGCCUUGUCUUCAGGACAAACCUUCCAAAAAAAUGAAGGCUUUGCCACAUGUUUUCCAUAACUGGCCAAAUAAAAUAUUAUGUUUUAAAGCAUUCAGGGUCAGAGAAAUAACUUGGGCUCUGCGCUCAGCAUUUUUUUCCUCCUCACAAUAGCUUCUGCUGAAUGAUAAUCUUUAAAACUAUGCAUGUGGGGGGCCAGAUCCUGACCCCCAUUGCAUCUGCUCUGCAUUGCCUCUGAAAACGCAGAGCAAGCAGAAAGCCAGCUUAGCUGGAUUGCUGGAGAUUACCCUGACCCCGUUUGUCAGCUGCGGUGUGGGACCCUGGGUGCCGUGGCAGGAGGAGGGGAAUUUGCUUAACUCAGCCUUGGCUGAAUUAUAAAAUGCCUGCACCGAGUUCACCCCUGAUCGUCCACCUCUGGAAUUCCAAUUCUGCCUGCUCUGUUUUCUCUCAAAUUGACAAUGCUCUGAGCUUUCCUCAGAGGUGUGGAUCCUGAAACAGAGAACAGGGAGGAAAUUUUGGUUUUCAUUACAGUGUAGUUCUAUAAAGCAUACUUCCAUCUUUUGUAACGAUGGAGAAAAGAUUGAAAACAUGACCUGAAUAUACUCCACAGGCUCAGUAACUGGAAGGCAAUGAAUAAAGAACCCCAACUUCAUUGA